Molecule: ribosomal RNA, 561 nt
Filed under: Helicotylenchus multicinctus
Lineage: Eukaryota; Metazoa; Nematoda; Chromadorea; Rhabditida; Hoplolaimidae
Description: eukaryotic LSU rRNA
Rfam family: Eukaryotic large subunit ribosomal RNA (bases 386-561)
Source: RNAcentral
CGGACAGAGCUGGCGUAUCUGGCCUGUAUUCAGCCGCUCGUUGUCGGCCCACCGUUGCUGCACUCCAGACUGGGAAGGCGGCGUGGGCGCUGGCUGCGUGUGGUGCAUUUGCAGGUGGAGUGCGCCGAGGCGCUCGGCUCAGCGGCAUGAGCUCAGCUUUGAGGCCAACCGUGCAAGCGGUCUGGUACCCGGGCUGGGGGAGUGUUGUUUGGGCUGGGUGUUCGCUUGUGGCUGUGGUUUCGGGCCCGGGUGGGUUCCGAGCUGGCGGUCGGUGGCGGUCGCUUGCGACACGUGCCAGCAGUCAGUUCGGUCCUGCUCGAGCUCUCAUUGUGGCCCGGCCUCGGUGUAAAAGCCGGUCAUCUGUCCGACCCGUCUUGAAACACGGACCAAGGAGUUUAGCGUGUGCGCGAGUCAUUGGGCGUUGAAAACCCAAAGGCGCAAUGAAAGUGAAGGUCUGCCUUGUGCAGCUGAUGUGUGAUCCCGGGCGCUGCGGCGCACGGGCGCAACAUAGUCCCGUCCCGACUGCAUGCAGUGGGGCAGAGACAGAGCGUACGCGCUGAG